ACGGCCCUACGGGUUGUAAACUGCUUUUGUACGGGAAGAAUAAUGCCCACGUGUGGGCAGAUGACGGUACCGUACGAAUAAGGACCGGCUAACUCCGUGCCAGCAGCCGCGGUAAUACGGAGGGUCCAAGCGUUAUCCGGAAUUAUUGGGUUUAAAGGGUCCGCAGGCGGGCCAGUAAGUCAGARGUGAAAGUUUGCGGCUUAACCGUAAAAUUGCCUUUGAUACUGCUGGUCUUGAGUUGCG
This 243-nucleotide ribosomal RNA is filed under the name uncultured Flavobacteriaceae bacterium. Its description in RNAcentral is "partial 16S ribosomal RNA". It matches the Rfam family "Bacterial small subunit ribosomal RNA", at positions 411 to 651 of the family's 1533-position model. The record is from RNAcentral. Lineage: Bacteria; Pseudomonadati; Bacteroidota; Flavobacteriia; Flavobacteriales; Flavobacteriaceae.